AGUGAACGCUGGCGGUAGGCCUAACACAUGCAAGUCGAACGGCAGCACAGUAAGAGCUUGCUCUUACGGGUGGCGAGUGGCGGACGGGUGAGGAAUACAUCGGAAUCUACUUUUUCGUGGGGGAUAACGUAGGGAAACUUACGCUAAUACCGCAUACGACCUACGGGUGAAAGCAGGGGAUCUUCGGACCUUGCGCGAUUGAAUGAGCCGAUGUCGGAUUAGCUAGUUGGCGGGGUAAAGGCCCACCAAGGCGACGAUCCGUAGCUGGUCUGAGAGGAUGAUCAGCCACACUGCAACUGAGACACGGUCCAGACUCCUACGGGAGGCAGCAGUGGGGAAUAUUGGACAAUGGGCGCAAGCCUGAUCCAGCCAUACCGCGUGGGUGAAGAAGGCCUUCGGGUUGUAAAGCCCUUUUGUUGGGAAAGAAAAGCAGCAGGUUAAUACCCCGCUGUUCUGACGGUACCCAAAGAAUAAGCACCGGCUAACUUCGU
Molecule: ribosomal RNA, 491 nt
Filed under: uncultured bacterium
Lineage: Bacteria
Description: partial 16S ribosomal RNA
Rfam family: Bacterial small subunit ribosomal RNA
Source: RNAcentral